Molecule: long non-coding RNA, 415 nt
Organism: Lutra lutra (Eurasian river otter)
Lineage: Eukaryota; Metazoa; Chordata; Mammalia; Carnivora; Mustelidae
Exons: 3
Source: RefSeq, a predicted model, not a curated record
GACCGUGAGAUCAUGAUGUGAGCUGAAAGCAGAUGUUUAACGAACUGAGUCACCCAGGUGGACUCAAAAUUCAAUAGCAAGUGUCCUUGCAAGAAAGAAAGAAGAAAAUAUAGAAAAGAAGAGAGCCAUGUAAAGGUAGAGGGAGAUACUGGAGCAAUAGAGCCAAAAGAAAUGCCAGAAUAGAGCCACCAGGAGCUGGAAGAGGAGAAAUGCAAUAAAGUCUUUACUGUAUGUGGACAAUUUAUCCAAGGAGAGGAUUCAUACAGGUAAUAAAUCAUAGGAAUAUAAAGAAUGUGGGAAGGUCUUUAGACCUGAUUGAGUUCUUCUUUCACAUCAGAGAAUUCAUACUGCUGAUACAUUCUGUGAAUGUAAGGAAUGGGGAAAGCCUUUACUAUGUAUAGAUAAGUUACUCAAC